This 305-nucleotide unclassified non-coding RNA is filed under the name plant metagenome. RNAcentral describes it as "partial contains 5.8S ribosomal RNA, internal transcribed spacer 2, and large subunit ribosomal RNA". The stretch from base 1 to 105 matches the Rfam family "5.8S ribosomal RNA", at positions 50 to 154 of the family's 154-position model. The record is from RNAcentral.
GAAAUGCGAUAAGUAAUGUGAAUUGCAGAAUUCAGUGAAUCAUCGAAUCUUUGAACGCACAUUGCGCCCGCCAGUAUUCUGGCGGGCAUGCCUGUUCGAGCGUCAUUUCAACCAUCAAGCCCCCGGCUUGUGUUGGGGACCUGCGGCUGCCCGCAGGCCCUGAAAAACAGUGGCGGGCUCGCUGUCACACCGAGCGCAGUAGCAUACAUUCUCGCUCAGGGCGUGCUGCGGGUCCCGGCCGUUAAACGACCUUCAUAACCCAAGGUUGACCUCGGAUCAGGUAGGAAGACCCGCUGAACUUAAGC